RNAcentral lists this long non-coding RNA (573 nucleotides) under Homo sapiens (human). RNAcentral's name for it is "HSALNT0143859". Lineage: Eukaryota; Metazoa; Chordata; Mammalia; Primates; Hominidae. The record is from RNAcentral.
GUACAUGCCCUAACAUUACUCCAAAAUCUGAUCCCCAUCAGCCCUAUCAGAACACUAUUUAAAAGCUCAGCUUACUUCAACUGUGGCAAAACAGUUAUGGCCCAGGUAAACAGAAGAAGGUAGACUCCACCGUAACAAAUUUAGUUAACAGGAAGCAAUCCCAGAUCUAUAGGCACAGAGAAGAAUAAGAGAGAAACUUCACCCUAAUGAAAUUUAGACUUGAGUUUUAGAAGAUUUUCCUGGAAAGACUAAGUAGAGUCAAGAGUUGAGAUAAAGUGAAGGCAUGAAAAGCAGAAUGAUGUGGAAUUUAAAAGAUGAAGAGCUAUAAACGUGUUAAUUUAAUUGGCACGAUCUCUCGAAGACAGAUCCACUGCAACCACGAAGAAGAAUUAUCCUUUCUACACAGGGCCAUUUUUCCACGAUGCUACUACAUUGGCCAUCACAGAGCACAGAUGGCAUCACCAGAAACCAAGAAGAUGGUAAGGCCUGGAGGUGGCAGAGCUGAAGAGGUGAGAGAAGGAAGCCUGAUGAAGAAAUACAAUUCUAAUGGUAAACCUAGGGAAUCAGGAAAUC